Molecule: transfer RNA, 74 nt
Filed under: bacterium
Lineage: Bacteria
Description: tRNA-Gly
Rfam family: tRNA
About the family: Transfer RNA (tRNA) molecules are approximately 80 nucleotides in length. Their secondary structure includes four short double-helical elements and three loops (D, anti-codon, and T loops). Further hydrogen bonds mediate the characteristic L-shaped molecular structure. tRNAs have two regions of fundamental functional importance: the anti-codon, which is responsible for specific mRNA codon recognition, and the 3' end, to which the tRNAs corresponding amino acid is attached (by aminoacyl-tRNA synthetases). tRNAs cope with the degeneracy of the genetic code in two manners: having more than one tRNA (with a specific anti-codon) for a particular amino acid; and 'wobble' base-pairing, i.e. permitting non-standard base-pairing at the 3rd anti-codon position.
Source: RNAcentral
GCGGGUAUAGUACAAUGGCAGUACAUCUGCUUCCCAAGCAGGAAACACGGGUCCGAUUCCCGUUACCCGCUCCA